ACCACUUCUUGGCCUUUUGGCUAACAUCAAGUGUAGUAUCUGUUCUUAUCAGUUUAAUACAUAUUUUUUUAGAAACAGGGUCUGGCUGUUGCCCAGGUUGGCCUCAAAUUCCUAGGCACAAUCAAUCCUCC
Small nuclear RNA from Heterocephalus glaber (naked mole-rat), 131 nucleotides. Its record names the gene U2. It matches the Rfam family "U2 spliceosomal RNA". Rfam says of the family: U2 is a small nuclear RNA (snRNA) component of the spliceosome (involved in pre-mRNA splicing). Complementary binding between U2 snRNA (in an area lying towards the 5' end but 3' to hairpin I) and the branchpoint sequence (BPS) of the intron results the bulging out of an unpaired adenosine, on the BPS, which initiates a nucleophilic attack at the intronic 5' splice site, thus starting the first of two transesterification reactions that mediate splicing. Lineage: Eukaryota; Metazoa; Chordata; Mammalia; Rodentia; Bathyergidae. The record is from Ensembl.